CCCAGACUCUUACGGGAGGCAGCAGUGGGGGAUAUUGCUCAAUGGGCGAAAGCCUGAUGCAGCUACGCCGCGUGAGGAAAGACGGUUUUCGGAUUGUAAACCUCUGUCUUCGGUGACGAAACAAAUGACGGUAGCCGAGGAGGAAGCCACGGCUAACUACGUGCCAGCAGCCGCGGUAAUACGUAGGUGGCAAGCGUUGUCCGGAAUUACUGGGUGUAAAGGGAGCGUAGGCGGGAUAGCAAGUCAGCUGUGGGCUUCGUGGGCUUGCUCCGUGUCGUGCGGUUGNUUCUGCUUUUCUUGUGUGGUGUUGUGGCCGGCGGCCUUCCGUGUGUGGCGGUGUUUUGCGUNGNUUUUCGGUGGAACGCCUGUGGCGCCGGCGGCCUGCUGGGCUCUNNCUGNCGCUGNGGCUCGGGGGUGUGGGGNGCUCCCUUAAAGGGGUGCCCUGGUAGUCCCCACUGUAAACGAUGAUUGAUAGGUGUGGGGGGGUCUGACCCCUUUCCGUGCCGGAGUAAACGCCAAUAAGCAAUCCACCGGGGGAGUACGGCCGCAAGGUUGAAACUCAAAGGAAUUGACGGGGGCCCGCACAAGCAGUGGAUUAUGUGGUUUAAUUAGAAGCAACGCGAAGAACCUUACCAGGUCUUGACAUCCAACUAACGAGAUAGAGAUAUGUCAGGUGCCCUUCGGGGAAAGUUGAGACAGGUGGUGCAUGGUUGUCGUCAGCUCGUGUCGUGAGAUGUUGGGUUAAGUCCCGCAACGAGCGCAACCCCUGCCAUUAGUUGCUACGCAAGAGCACUCUAAUGGGACCGCUACCGACAAGGUGGAGGAAGGUGGGGACGACGUCAAAUCAUCAUGCCCCUUAUGACCUGGGCUACACACGUAAUACAAUGGCCGUUAACAACAGGAAGCAAUGCCGCGAGGCGGGGCAAAACCUCAAAAACGGUCUCAGUUCGGAUCGCAGGCUGCAACCCGCCUGCGUGAAGUUGGAAUUGCUAGUAAUCGCGAAUCAGCAUGUCGCGGUGAAUACGUUCCCGGGCCUUGCACACACCGCCCGUCA
Molecule: ribosomal RNA, 1054 nt
Filed under: uncultured bacterium
Lineage: Bacteria
Description: bacterial SSU rRNA
Rfam family: Bacterial small subunit ribosomal RNA
Source: RNAcentral